Dama dama (fallow deer) is the source of this 1961-nucleotide long non-coding RNA. RefSeq lists it as uncharacterized. The record is from RefSeq and is a predicted model, not a curated record. NCBI's taxonomy places the organism in Eukaryota, Metazoa, Chordata, Mammalia, Artiodactyla, Cervidae. The transcript has 4 exons.
GCUUAUUGAUAUUGUAUAUGCUAACGUUUGGAUGUGGGGCAGGAAAGACAGCCUUUAACUGCUGGUAUGCAGUGCUGAAUCUGGGCUGCAUGAAGAGGUUUUCAUUUACUGAUGUUGGAUGUGUGCCCAGAUUGCCAUAGUAGAAUUUAGGAAAAAGCACAGUAAAGAGAAGAACCACAGAAUGGUUUGGGGAACAUCCACAUGAGGCAGAAGAACAAAUACAUCUGAAGACUGUUUCCAGAAAUGAAAGGACUAACCACUGGGGAACAGUUGUGAGCCCCCCAAAUCCCAACCUGGCCCUCUACUUGAAGGAGGAAACCAAGUGGAACAGUUAAAGAACAACUCCCAGCCCUUCCUCCUGCUAAAUCAGAACUGUACUCCACAGAGAGAAAUAGCCCAGCCAGAUCACUCUUGUGUACAAACAGUAUUCCUCGUGUUCCCCAGUGCAUGGUCCUUGCCCUAGAUUCUUCCUAUUUGAGUCAAAUACAUCAUUCAAAAUCAUUCAAAUGUAAGCCCUGGAACACUGCAGAGAAGGAAAAAUAAGUUGAAGCAUAUCAGAUUUUCAUGCCAACCACUACUAAAAAAAUCAGUGCCUAUAAGGACGAUAUGAUAUAAAACCUGUCAACAGACACCAGUUUUGCCCACAUUCCAGCAAGCACAAAGAAGAAGGAUGAUUAUAGGUGUAGACAAGCUUUGCCAUUCAAGCAAGGAACUUAAAUACAAAACAGAAAUUACAGGUUGAUUUUCAAGAUACAUUCUUUUUGAAUCUACAAAGUUGUGUUUAUAUAUGUGUGUGUGAAGACUGUAGUUUUCCUCUUAAGCAAGUUAUGUGUUUGGAAUCUGAAGUUGUAUAUUUUUUAGUUAUGCUUGCAAAGAAAAAUUAUCAUUUUAUUGGCAGUAUAAUAAUAAUAAUAAUAAGUGCAUUAAAUAAGUGAUAUUGCUUUAGACUGUGUUAUGGUUAAAUAGUGCCAAUCAUGCUGUGUUCUUUUCUAUAAAGACGCUCAUAAACACAACUUCCAAAACAGAAUCUAAUGAGGUACUUAAUGGUCACAAAAAUGGCAUGUUUGAUAAUUAAUGUUCCUUACUGAUUUUUUGCUGAUGCAGCAUAGUGAUAAAUAGGAACAGAAGUUAACUAAACAUAUUCUUGAACCACUAGUUAAAAUGAGAGCACAAAAAGAACUUUAGUAACAUCAUUUACUAUAGACCAAAACAACAUUUGAUAGCCUCCUUCUAAGAUGAGCAGGAAAAGUCUAGGCAGACAACCACAAAGCUUUUCUGUUCUGAGAAGCAGAAACCCCUUUUCACACGGAGGAGUAUGAGACAGUUGAUCUGACUUUGCUUAUAGUAUAUUUCAUUGACAAAAAUUAGGAGACUUUGCUUGCAAGAUUCCCAGCUACCAAGAAAUAAAUACAAUUUUUUGAACACUUACUAUGUGCCAGGCAAUUCUGUACAGAAGUUAUAUUAUACAAAUCAUUGUUCUCAUUUUAAAGAUUAGGUUACUGAGGUUUAGCAAAGGUAAGUCUUUAACAGCAAUUAGUAAGAGAGGCCAUUUACAAGAAAGGCAGUGAUGAAUAAAGAAAAGAUUGCAGUUCUUACUGAGCAAUGAAACCCGAGUUUGAAUUCAUGAGCUACUAUUUUUUGCAGCUAUGUGAGACAGCUUCUUUCAGCCUUAGUUUUUUAUCUAUAAGAAGAGGAUAAUAAUACUUUAUAGUGUUUAAGGAUUAGAAAUCAUAUCUGUAAUGCAGGUUAGAUAUGACUUGAAGAUACUAAAUGAUUGUGAAAUGGUCCUUUCACGAUCCUCUCAGUCCUUUCUUGGUAAAAUACACACACACACACACACACACACACACACACACACACAAAAUACUUCCAAAGAAUUCAGCAGGAGUGAAAUUGGAAGAGAGGUACCCCUACCUCCAAAACUCAGGACCUUACCAAUAUACCACUCUAUCUUCUUUAAA